AAUGGACGAAAGUCUGACGCAGCAACGCCGCGUGAUCGAAGAAGCUUUGCGGAGUGUAAAGAUCUGUCAUAAGGGAAGAAAAUGUGUACACUAACACUAUACACGUCUGACGGUACCUUAUAAGAAAGCCCCGGCUAACUUCGUGCCAGCAGCCGCGGUAAUACGAGGGGGCAAGCGUUGUCCGGAUUUAUUGGGCGUAAAGGGCUCGUAGGUGGGCUAGUAAGUCAAAAUUGAAAUCCAAUGGCUUAACCAUUGUCACGGUUUUGAUACUGCUAGUCUUGAGUGAAAUAGAGGUAAGUGGAAUUCCUGGUGUAGCGGUGAAAUGCGUAGAUAUCAGGAGGAACGCCGAAGGAGAAGUCAGCUUACUGGAUUUAUACUGACACUGAGGAGCGAAAGCGUGGGUAGCAAACAGGAUU
This 416-nucleotide ribosomal RNA is filed under the name uncultured Deferribacteraceae bacterium. RNAcentral describes it as "bacterial SSU rRNA". It matches the Rfam family "Bacterial small subunit ribosomal RNA", at positions 370 to 779 of the family's 1533-position model. The record is from RNAcentral. Lineage: Bacteria; Pseudomonadati; Deferribacterota; Deferribacteres; Deferribacterales; Deferribacteraceae.